RNAcentral lists this ribosomal RNA (887 nucleotides) under Apis mellifera ligustica (common honey bee). RNAcentral's name for it is "partial large subunit ribosomal RNA". Lineage: Eukaryota; Metazoa; Arthropoda; Insecta; Hymenoptera; Apidae. The record is from RNAcentral.
UAAAAUUUAUUUAAUGAUUUUAAAUAUCUCGAAAAUAAGGGAGCUAAAUUUAUAUUAUUUUUUUUGUAGCAAUAAAAUUAUAAAUAUAGAUUUAGAAAUUAAAUGUUAAACGAACUUAUUAAUAUCUAGUUUUUUUAGAAAUAAAUUUAAUUUAGAUAUAAUUAUUUUAGUAAAUUAAAUUUUAUUUUAAUUUAUUAAUUUUUAUAUUAAAAAUUUAUGGGAUAAUCUAUAAAUUUAAGAUAAAAAUUUAAUUUUAAUUUUUAAUGUUAUAGAGAUAAUAUUUUUCUUUAAUUUUAAUAAUUUAAUAAUUUAAUAUUUAUAAAUUAAUAAUGAUUUAAAUUUAUAUUUUAUUUUUCUAUAAAAAUUUAUAUUUUAAUUAAUAAAAUAUAGAAAUAAUGAUUAGAUUAGUAAUAAAGUUAUAUUUUAUAAUGAUAUUUUGUAUUAUAUAAUUUAAAGGAAUUCGGCAAAUAUAUUAUUCACCUGUUUAUCAAAAACAUGUCCUGUUGAUUAUAAUUUUAGGUCGAUCUGCUCAAUGAAUUAUUUUAAAUAGCUGCAGUAUGUUGACUGUACAAAGGUAGCAUAAUAAAUUGUCUUUUAAUUGAAGAAUUGUAUGAAAGAAUUAAUGAAAUAAUAACUGUCUCUAAAUUAUUAAAUGAAUUUAAAUUUUUAGUUAAAAUUCUAAAAUUUAAUUAUGGGACGAUAAGACCCUAUAGAAUUUAAUUUAAUUUUUAAAUUUAUUUAUAAUUUUAAUAAAUAUAUUUAAGAUUAAAUUUGAUUGGGAGGAUUGGUAAAUUUAAUAAACUUUAUUUAAGAUUUAAUUUUGAUAUAAAGAUAAUUUUUUGAAUUAUAAAUUGUAAUUAAAAGAAUAAAUUACCUUAGGGAUAACA